This 398-nucleotide ribosomal RNA is filed under the name Rhizobium sp. S717-53. Its description in RNAcentral is "bacterial SSU rRNA". It matches the Rfam family "Bacterial small subunit ribosomal RNA", at positions 29 to 456 of the family's 1533-position model. Lineage: Bacteria; Pseudomonadati; Pseudomonadota; Alphaproteobacteria; Hyphomicrobiales; Rhizobiaceae. The record is from RNAcentral.
AACGAACGCUGGCGGCAGGCUUAACACAUGCAAGUCGAGCGCCCCGCAAGGGGAGCGGCAGACGGGUGAGUAACGCGUGGGAAUCUACCCUUUUCUACGGAAUAACGCAGGGAAACUUGUGCUAAUACCGUAUGUGUCCUUCGGGAGAAAGAUUUAUCGGGAAAGGAUGAGCCCGCGUUGGAUUAGCUAGUUGGUGGGGUAAAGGCCUACCAAGGCGACGAUCCAUAGCUGGUCUGAGAGGAUGAUCAGCCACAUUGGGACUGAGACACGGCCCAAACUCCUACGGGAGGCAGCAGUGGGGAAUAUUGGACAAUGGGCGCAAGCCUGAUCCAGCCAUGCCGCGUGAGUGAUGAAGGCCCUAGGGUUGUAAAGCUCUUUCACCGGAGAAGAUAAUGACG